AGCAAACAAACUUUAGCAGCAUUCUAGAGACUUCACAGAGACAAACCCAGCACUCGUGCAAAAAACAGUUUGCAAUUUCCUUCCCCAGCCUCAAUACCACGAGCACUCAUAACUAGUAAGCUUUCCUGGAACUGAGGCACCCACAAACACAAGCAGUAAUGACCCGGAUCUGACCUUAUCAGAUGAACAGAGAAGAAGGGGGAUUUUUGCAGGAAGUAAAGCAAAACUAAAGCAGAAAGUGCUUUUUAUUAUUUUCACAGAGUAUUUAGCUCUGAGACAGUAUUCCUUUAAGCAAUGUAUUCAAAACAAAAUAUGAUGAAAGGCAAGAUCUAGAUCUAAGUUUCUGCAGACACAUCCUUUAAUAAUAUUUCCACACAAUGUCAUGUAACAUUACAAUUUACAAUGUAUUCAGCAUUAUUCCCACAUAUCUCAUCUGAAUUUCACCUCACUGCCAGGUGUCCCUCUGACAGAAAGACUGUCUGGGAAAGCAAGCCUGCUUCUGUACAGCACUGAGCAAGUAUUUGGGGUUUCCUCAAGAUACCUAAUCUUUUUCUUUCAGUCAUUCACACAGAGAUUAAGGAAAGGGAAUAAUUAAUCCCAAAGUGUCCUGGAUCUCAUAUAUUGUCUCACAGAGCAACUAAAAAUCUGAAAAGCUAUUCCAUCUCUUCUUUCUAUCCUUUAGUUCCCAGUGGUUAAGAUAAUAAAAGCAAAAGGUUGCCCCAACAGUCACUCCCACCUCUAGCAACACAAAAGUUGAAUUUCUAUGGGAAUGAGCCAUGACUUUUUCCCCCUGCUUCUAAAAGAUGGAUUUUAGGUGGAUGGAACAUUCUGGAAGAAGAACAGAAUUAACAAAGCAUGCUAAUGAUCAGCUGUAAUACUGUAUAAGUGAAGGCACUGCAUAUAGGUGAGCACCUGCUUAGCAGCACAUCCUAUUUCAAACUUAGAAAUGUCUUAUUUUUAACCCAAGAGUAAAAAAAGCAAUUAAGUUGGGUGGGUACCUGACAGACAUGGAAAUGGGAAGAUAAAGGUUUGACUCAGAGACAGUUGACAGAUUUCAUAAAAAUGGUGUAGUACUGAAGUGUCUUGGAGGAAUCCCUGCAGAAAAGGAAGAAGCUGCCCUACAGAAAGGCUAAUGGGGCCUGGAAAACACCAGCUCAGUCAGAAACUGUGUCCAAAUGGCAAACAGCUGAACUCAGUAGGACUACAAUGUGCUGAUUUUAAGUCUACCUGGGAAGCAGCUUGAAGUGAUGGAAGGUAAUGUGCUCCUGGUACCACCUACUUCUGACUUGGGAAGAGAAACAAGGACCAGCAUCUGUCAAGCAGUCAAUUUUUGGCACUGUUUUUGUGCAGAGGACUUUACCUUGACUGGUUAAAGGUCUCAAGCUCAGGAUGACAAUUGAAACAGUAAAUACAAAAACUACUGGAAUCAUAAUGAGCCAAGUGAUCUUCACCAUACACAUCGGAUCUGUCCAUAAAAUAUACAAGAGACAAAAUUAAUCAGCAAAUCACUGGCAGCAGAGAAAAGCAGAACACUCCAUCUUGGCAGGUUUUUGGAUUGUGCCUAUCUCCACAGAUCAAAAUAAAACAAACAAACAGGAU
Molecule: non-coding RNA, 1599 nt
Organism: Cyanistes caeruleus (blue tit)
Lineage: Eukaryota; Metazoa; Chordata; Aves; Passeriformes; Paridae
Source: RefSeq, a predicted model, not a curated record